AUUGAACGCUGGCGGCAGGCCUAACACAUGCAAGUCGAGCGGAUGAAGGGAGCUUGCUCCUGGAUUCAGCGGCGGACGGGUGAGUAAUGCCUAGGAAUCUGCCUGGUAGUGGGGGAUAACGUCCGGAAACGGGCGCUAAUACCGCAUACGUCCUGAGGGAGAAAGUGGGGGAUCUUCGGACCUCACGCUAUCAGAUGAGCCUAGGUCGGAUUAGCUAGUUGGUGGGGUAAAGGCCUACCAAGGCGACGAUCCGUAACUGGUCUGAGAGGAUGAUCAGUCACACUGGAACUGAGACUCGGUCCAGGCUCCUACGGUAUGCAGCAGUGGGGAAUAUUGGACAAAGGGCGAAAGCCUGAUCCAGCCGUGCCGCGUGUGUGAAGAAGGUCUUCGGAUUGUAAAACACUUUAAGUUGGGAGGAAGGGCAGUAAGUUAAUACCUUGCUGUUUUGACGUUACCAACAGAAUAAGCACCGGCUAACUUCGUG
RNAcentral lists this ribosomal RNA (484 nucleotides) under uncultured bacterium. Its description in RNAcentral is "partial 16S ribosomal RNA". It matches the Rfam family "Bacterial small subunit ribosomal RNA", at positions 30 to 507 of the family's 1533-position model. The record is from RNAcentral.